UACGAAGGGUGCUAGCGUUGUUCGGAAUUACUGGGCGUAAAGGGCGCGUAGGCGGUGUGUCAAGUCAGGCGUGAAAGCCCCGGGCUCAACCUGGGAACCGCGCUUGAGACUGGCACGCUCGAGUUCGGGAGAGGAUGGUGGAAUUCCCAGUGUAGAGGUGAAAUUCGUAGAUAUUGGGAAGAACACCGAUGGCGAAGGCGGCUCUCUGGACCGAGACUGACGCUGAGGCGCGAAAGCGUGGGGAGCAAACAGG
RNAcentral lists this ribosomal RNA (253 nucleotides) under uncultured bacterium. RNAcentral's name for it is "partial 16S ribosomal RNA". It matches the Rfam family "Bacterial small subunit ribosomal RNA", at positions 524 to 776 of the family's 1533-position model. The record is from RNAcentral.